Molecule: ribosomal RNA, 593 nt
Filed under: uncultured Bacteroidota bacterium
Lineage: Bacteria; Pseudomonadati; Bacteroidota
Description: bacterial SSU rRNA
Rfam family: Bacterial small subunit ribosomal RNA
Source: RNAcentral
ACGCUACGCGGCUAUAACUGCAGUGAACGGUGCUUCGGGCAUAGUGGCGCACGGGUGCGUAACACGUAUGCAACCUACCUUACAUUGGGGGAUAGCCUUUCGAAAGGGAGAUUAAUACCGCAUAACACAGUGAGUUGGCAUCAGCUUAUUGUUAAAGAUUUAUCGAUGUAAGAUGGGCAUGCGUCCAAUUAGUUAGUUGGCGAGGUAACGGCUCACCAAGACGAUGAUUGGUAGGGGAACUGAGAGGUCAAUCCCCCACACUGGCACUGAGAUACGGGCCAGACUCCUACGGGAGGCAGCAGUAGGGAAUAUUGGGCAAUGGACGCAAGUCUGACCCAGCCAUGCCGCGUGCAGGAAGACGGCCCUCUGGGUUGUAAACUGCUUUUAUAUAGGAAGAAAGAAUCCUUGCGAGGAUAGUUGACGGUACUAUAAGAAUAAGCACCGGCUAACUCCGUGCCAGCAGCCGCGGUAAUACGGAGGGUGCAAGCGAUGUCCGGAUUUAUUGGGUUUAAAGGGUGCGCAGGUGGUUUAUUAAGUCAGUGGUGAAAGACGGUCGCUUAACGAUUGCAGUGCCAUUGAUACUGGUAGACUUG